RNAcentral lists this ribosomal RNA (253 nucleotides) under uncultured bacterium. Its description in RNAcentral is "partial 16S ribosomal RNA". It matches the Rfam family "Bacterial small subunit ribosomal RNA", at positions 524 to 776 of the family's 1533-position model. The record is from RNAcentral.
UACGGGGGGGGCAAGCGUUGUUCGGAAUUACUGGGCGUAAAGGGCUCGUAGGCGGCCAACUAAGUCGGACGUGAAAUCCCCAGGCUCAACCUGGGAACUGCGUCCGAUACUGGAUGGCUUGAAUCCGGGAGAGGGAUGCAGAAUUCCAGGUGUAGCGGUGAAAUGCGUAGAUAUCCGGAAGAACACCGGUGGCGAAGGCGGCCUGCUGGGACAUGGCUGACGCUGAGGCGCGACAGCGUGGGGAGCAAACAGG